RNAcentral lists this ribosomal RNA (649 nucleotides) under uncultured Brevibacterium sp. RNAcentral describes it as "bacterial SSU rRNA". It matches the Rfam family "Bacterial small subunit ribosomal RNA", at positions 95 to 758 of the family's 1533-position model. Lineage: Bacteria; Bacillati; Actinomycetota; Actinomycetes; Micrococcales; Brevibacteriaceae. The record is from RNAcentral.
GUGGCGAACGGGUGAGUAACACGUGAGUAACCUGCCCCUGACUUCGGGAUAAGCCCGGGAAACUGGGUCUAAUACCGGAUACGACUGCCGGACGCAUGUCUGGUGGUGGAAAGUUUUUUCGGUUGGGGAUGGGCUCGCGGCCUAUCAGUUUGUUGGUGAGGUAAUGGCUCACCAAGACGACGACGGGUAGCCGGCCUGAGAGGGCGACCGGCCACACUGGGACUGAGACACGGCCCAGACUCCUACGGGAGGCAGCAGUGGGGAAUAUUGCACAAUGGGGGAAACCCUGAUGCAGCGACGCAGCGUGCGGGAUGACGGCCUUCGGGUUGUAAACCGCUUUCAGCAGGGAAGAAGCGCAAGUGACGGUACCUGCAGAAGAAGUACCGGCUAACUACGUGCCAGCAGCCGCGGUAAUACGUAGGGUACGGGCGUUGUCCGGAAUUAUUGGGCGUAAAGAGCUCGUAGGUGGUUGGUCACGUCUGCUGUGGAAACGCAACGCUUAACGUUGCGCGUGCAGUGGGUACGGGCUGACUAGAGUGCAGUAGGGGAGUCUGGAAUUCCUGGUGUAGCGGUGAAAUGCGCAGAUAUCAGGAGGAACACCGGUGGCGAAGGCGGGACUCUGGGCUGUAACUGACACUGAGGAGCGAAA